AUACGGAGGGUGCAAGCGUUACUCGGAAUCACUGGGCGUAAAGCGCGCGCAGGCGGUCUUUUAAGUUGGAUGUGAAAGCCUACGGCUCAACCGUAGAACUGCAUCCAAAACUAUUAGACUAGAGUGUGGGAGAGGAAGAUGGAAUUAGUUGUGUAGGGGUAAAAUCCGUAGAGAUAACUAGGAGUACCAAAAGCGAAGGCAAUCUUCUGGAACACUACUGACGCUGAGGCGCGAAAGCGUGGGGAGCAAACGGGAUUAGAUACCCUAGUAGUCC
Molecule: ribosomal RNA, 274 nt
Filed under: uncultured bacterium
Lineage: Bacteria
Description: partial 16S ribosomal RNA
Rfam family: Bacterial small subunit ribosomal RNA
Source: RNAcentral